UACGGGGGGGGUAAGCGUUGUUCGGAAUUACUGGGCGUAAAGGGCUCGUAGGCGGCCAACUAAGUCAAACGUGAAAUCCCUCAGCUUAACUGGGGAACUGCGUCUGAUACUGGAUGGCUUGGAUUCGGGAGAGGAAUGCGGAAUUCCAGGUGUAGCGGUGAAAUGCGUAGAUAUGUGGAGGAACACCGAUGGCGAAGGCAGCCCCCUGGGAUGUGACUGACGCUCAUGUACGAAAGCGUGGGGAGCAAACAGG
This 253-nucleotide ribosomal RNA is filed under the name uncultured bacterium. Its description in RNAcentral is "partial 16S ribosomal RNA". It matches the Rfam family "Bacterial small subunit ribosomal RNA", at positions 524 to 776 of the family's 1533-position model. The record is from RNAcentral.